GUAAAAUAUGAUAAUAGUUAUCAUUGGGAAUUUAUACCUUUACAUGAUAUAUUUUGGUACUUAGUUUUUUCCAUUCCCCUGCCUUCUCUUUUACCCCUCCACCCUUUCCUACUUACAAAGACUUUGUCUCCAUUAAGAAACACUGCUAAAUCCAAUGUUAGGAAUUUCUCCUAUUGUAUGUUUUUUCUAAGUGCUUUAUAGUUUUAGCCCUCAUACUUAGGUCAUUGAUCUAUUGUGAGUUAAGCUUUAUAUAUGAUAUAGAGUAGAAGCUUCCCUGUUCUUUUUCUAUCAUCUAGGCAAACAGAAAUACAUUCACACAAAAUAAAUUGCUGUCUCCAAGGCUCUGUUGUCUCUUAUACUUACAAUGACUUUCUCUACUUAUAUCUCCACCUGGGCUUGUAUCAUGUCAGCCAUAUGUUGUACCAAGUCUACCAUUCAAUUUGGCUUAAGCACCUGUGUCUUCCUCACAAAAUUAAAAGAAAUAAUCUGUCUUUUCUCUGAACUCCCAUGACCUGUUUUAUAGCACCAAUUCAUACAAUUUUCACUUAACUAACCAAUUAUCCACAUAUUCAAAAAUAAUUAUUGGACACUUUCUCUGUUAAGUACUCUAUAGCCUUUUCAAACUGUUACAUAUGAUAUAGUUUUCAAGAUAUCUUCUUUCUUCUAGUGAUGUGAAAGUUUUAAAACAAAGGAACACCAUGUGUGAUCUUUCCAUCCUUCAGAGGUCUCAGCCUCUCAGUUCUCCAGCGUUUGAAAAGGAGGUACAUAGAAGGAGCCUGCCGCCGUGGAGACGUUUUGUUUCAAACCUUUGCCCACUGUUGACUGUGUCUGAGCCCCAGGAUCUCUCUCCAUGGUUUGAGGACCAACACAACCUAACAGACUGGGAUUGAAGGAUUAAAUACAACGAGAAACAUCAAAUUUACCCUCCCCAUGCAGGAUGUUUACGAGUUGAGUUGAGCAUCUAAGUCUGUUUCUUGAUAUGCUCAUGAAAGAUGUAGCCUAGCUUAUAGGGCUGCUGGCUAAAUUCCUGCCCUCCCUUCUCAGAUAUUUAGGCCACAUCUCAGCACUGAACCUCACUUGGGCUAUCUUGUGUACUCUGUAUCUGUCACAAUGUGCAUCUCUUCCUGAGACAGCUUUCCUUCCAGAGUGCAGUGGUCUGGAGAAGGGUCGAGAAAUAAGGACACAAAUAUCUAGAAAACCGAGUUACUGCUUAGCAUGGUGAUGCAUGCUUGUAAUCCCAGCUACUCAGGAGGACAAGGCAGGAGGAUCACAAGUUUUGAGACCAGCCUGGGCAAAUAGCUGGAUUCUGUCUCAAAAUCAAAGAGGGCUGGGGAUGUAGGUUAGUGUUAGGAAUGCCUCUGGGUUCAUUCUGCAGUCCUGAAAAAUAAUUAAAUUACUGAAAAUCACUGGAGUAUACAUAAUGGUAGCAUGAUUGUACAAUAUGGUCAGUGUCAUCAUUAAAAUAAUCUUCAAAUACAUAUGAGAUUUUUCCCUGUAAUGUUAAGACUACGGAUGUAACAAUUUUUGUGUGGCAAUGGCC
Molecule: long non-coding RNA, 1540 nt
Filed under: Fukomys damarensis (Damara mole-rat)
Lineage: Eukaryota; Metazoa; Chordata; Mammalia; Rodentia; Bathyergidae
Description: lncRNA (ENSFDAG00000028766.1)
Source: RNAcentral